This is a long non-coding RNA of Neltuma alba, 219 nucleotides long. RefSeq lists it as uncharacterized. Lineage: Eukaryota; Viridiplantae; Streptophyta; Magnoliopsida; Fabales; Fabaceae. The record is from RefSeq and is a predicted model, not a curated record. The transcript is spliced from 3 exons.
AAAAGCACUGCUCUUAUUGAAAAGAAUGAAAGCAUAUGUGAUAUGACUCAAUUUGAAACGCCUGAGCUGGAUGUACUUCUGGGAAGUACCUGCUUUCCUGAGGAGGUGGUGAUGCAAAUACUGGAUGAAACAUCGGAGAAUGACAAUAAUCUGGAAAUGCUCGAGUCUGGGCUCUCAAUGCAAUUUCCUUAUGAGGUUCUGCAUUCAAUAUCCGUAGUU